RNAcentral lists this ribosomal RNA (376 nucleotides) under uncultured bacterium. RNAcentral's name for it is "bacterial SSU rRNA". It matches the Rfam family "Bacterial small subunit ribosomal RNA", at positions 30 to 409 of the family's 1533-position model. The record is from RNAcentral.
AUUGAACGCUGGCGGCAUGCCUUACACAUGCAAGUCGAACGGCAGCACGGGAGCAAUCCUGGUGGCGAGUGGCGAACGGGUGAGUAAUAUAUCGGAACGUGCCCAGUCGUGGGGAUAACGUAGCGAAAGCUACGCUAAUACCGCAUACGAUCUAUGGAUGAAAGGCGGGGGAUCGCAAGACCUCGCGCGAUUGGAGCGGCCGAUAUCAGAUUAGGUAGUUGGUGAGGUAAAGGCUCACCAAGCCGACGAUCUGUAGCUGGUCUGAGAGGACGACCAGCCACACUGGGACUGAGACACGGCCAGACUCCUACGGGAGGCAGCAGNGGGAAUUUUGGACAAUGGCGCAAGCCUGAUCCAGCAAUGCCGCGUGCAGGAU